CGCACGGAGUGCUCCCACUGCGCGUCCGGCGUCACCAGCGCCGCCUCGCCGAGGGCGUCGCCGUCGGCCAGCGUCCCCAGGGACGUCUCCUCGCCGUACUUGCCGGUGCCGAUCCGGUCCAGCUUGCCGUGCGCGAUCAGGAUGACCCGGUCCGUGGGGCCGCCCGCCCGCGCCAGUACGUCACCGGGCGCGAACUCCCGUUGGACGAAGCGGCCGGCCAGGUUCUCCAGCGUCGCGGCGUCGUCGUAGCCGCGCAGCGGGGCCAGCUCGCGCAACUCGGCCGGGAUCACCCGGACUUCGGUGCCCGUGGAGACGAAUUCCACCCGGCCGUCGCCGAGGGUGUGCGUGAGCCGGCGGUUGACGCGGAAGGUACCGCCGGAGACCUGCGUCCAGGGCAGGAUGCGCAGCAGCCAGCGGGAGGAGAUCCCCUGCAUCUGCGGCACGGUCUUGGUCGUGGUCGCCAGCUUGCGGGCGGCCGCGGUGUCCAGGCUGGAACGCUGCUG
Molecule: non-coding RNA, 503 nt
Organism: Streptomyces lydicus
Lineage: Bacteria; Bacillati; Actinomycetota; Actinomycetes; Kitasatosporales; Streptomycetaceae
Rfam family: Saccharopolyspora sRNA 350
Source: Rfam